UGACAGAUGAGGAAAGUAGCACAAGCUGGGAAACUAGCAAAAGCUUAUAUUUCUAUACCUAACACAAGAUGUUAUUCUUUCAUUCAUACUAACGCAAGCCGGGAAACUGGCAAAAGGAAACUAGCUGACAAGAUCCUUUCUGGCUUUCUCCAAGAACAUUCACUCAUGUUCUUUUGGAUAAUUUACUUGUCAAAUUUAUAUAUAUAAUACAUGGAAGAGGUCCUGCAGGUAACUCUAGUUGUCAAUUUUUCAAGAUUCAGCUAUGGCAUUUAUGGCUUUUUUCAGUCAUUGACUAUGUGGGUUUAUCUUGUCCUUCUACCAG
Molecule: unclassified non-coding RNA, 322 nt
Filed under: Hevea brasiliensis (rubber tree)
Lineage: Eukaryota; Viridiplantae; Streptophyta; Magnoliopsida; Malpighiales; Euphorbiaceae
Source: RNAcentral